This 492-nucleotide ribosomal RNA is filed under the name uncultured bacterium. RNAcentral's name for it is "partial 16S ribosomal RNA". It matches the Rfam family "Bacterial small subunit ribosomal RNA", at positions 29 to 507 of the family's 1533-position model. The record is from RNAcentral.
AGUGAACGCUGGCGGUAGGCCUAACACAUGCAAGUCGAACGGCAGCACAGUAAGAGCUUGCUCCUACGGGUGGCGAGUGGCGGACGGGUGAGGAAUACAUCGGAUUCUACUUUUUCUUGGGGGACAACGUAGGGACACUUACGCUAAUACCUCAUACGACCUACGGGUGAAAGCAGGAGUGCUUGGGGCCUUGCGCGAUUGAAUUAGCCGAUGUCGGAUUAGCUAGUUGGCGGGGUAAAGGCCCACCAAGGCGACGAUCCGUAGCUGGUCUGAGAGGAUGAUCAGCCACACUGGAACUGAGACACGGUCCAGACUCCUACGGGAGGCAGCAGUAGGGAAUAUUGGACAAUGGGCGCAAGCCUGAUCCAGCCAUACCGCGUGGGUGAAGAAGGCCUUCGGGUUGUAAAGCCCUUUUGUUGGGAAAGAAAAGCAGCAUGUUAAUACCCCGAUGUUCUGACGGUACCCAAAGAAUAAGCACCGGCUAACUUCGUG